GUUUCAAUUCCUCAUAGGUAGGCUAACAUC
Molecule: non-coding RNA, 30 nt
Organism: Desulfotomaculum sp.
Lineage: Bacteria; Bacillati; Bacillota; Clostridia; Eubacteriales; Desulfotomaculaceae
Source: Rfam